Molecule: ribosomal RNA, 498 nt
Filed under: uncultured bacterium
Lineage: Bacteria
Description: partial 16S ribosomal RNA
Rfam family: Bacterial small subunit ribosomal RNA
Source: RNAcentral
GACGAACGCUGGCGGCGUGCCUAAUACAUGCAAGUCGAACGAGAGCGCCCGGUGCUUGCACUGGUCAAUCUAGUGGCGAACGGGUGAGUAACACGUGGGUAGCCUGCCCAUCAGAGGGGGAUAACAUUCGGAAACGGAUGCUAAAACCGCAUAGGUCUUCGAACCGCAUGGUUUGAAGAGGAAAAGAGGCGCAAGCUUCUGCUGAUGGAUGGACCCGCGGUGCAUUAGCUAGUUGGUGAGGUAACGGCUCACCAAGGCCGUGAUGCAUAGCCGACCUGAGAGGGUGAUCGGCCACAUUGGGACUGAGACACGGCCCAAACUCCUACGGGAGGCAGCAGUAGGGAAUCUUCCGCAAUGGACGCAAGUCUGACGGAGCAACGCCGCGUGAGUGAAGAAGGUUUUCGGAUCGUAAAACUCUGUUGUUAGAGAAGAAUAAGUGCUAGAGUAACUGUUAGCGCCUUGACGGUAUCUAACCAGAAAGCCACGGCUAACUACGUG